AAGGAUGUAGCUCAGGGAUAGAGCAUUUGCCUAGCAUGUGCAAGGCCCUGGGUUCCAUCCCCAGCACCCUAA
RNAcentral lists this transfer RNA (72 nucleotides) under Marmota monax (woodchuck). It matches the Rfam family "tRNA". Rfam says of the family: Transfer RNA (tRNA) molecules are approximately 80 nucleotides in length. Their secondary structure includes four short double-helical elements and three loops (D, anti-codon, and T loops). Lineage: Eukaryota; Metazoa; Chordata; Mammalia; Rodentia; Sciuridae. The record is from Rfam by way of RNAcentral.